RNAcentral lists this long non-coding RNA (1456 nucleotides) under Malus domestica (apple). RNAcentral's name for it is "long non-coding RNA (MDOM_LNC009296)". The record is from RNAcentral. Lineage: Eukaryota; Viridiplantae; Streptophyta; Magnoliopsida; Rosales; Rosaceae.
GGGGGGCUACUGUGUUCUUCUCCCCCUUAAUUCUUCUUCACUCCAAAAAUGAUAACUUUCUCAUACAGCAACGAAAUCAUGCACGGUCGAAUGCUAUGUAUUCAUACCAAAGCCUUCUUCAAUUUGAUGCCAAAACCAUAGGCUGAAACCAAGCGUGCUCAUAUAUUGAAGCCUAGAAGUUUCGACGGUUUUCGUGGGUUUUUCACGGAUUAUGGCCAACCUCGCUGGAUAUGGGUCUCGACCCAAGAGAGAAAAAUACUCAUCUCAUCAUGCAAUUCCAGGAUAUGUAAGUGGAUCUUUCGAAUUCCAAGUUUCAUUUUCAAACAAGUUUGAGAAUGAAGUGUUUAACUUGAAAUUUCGGGGUUCUUGUUAAGGAUUCAUGGCUAUGAACUUGAUUUAAGAGCAUAGUAGCGAAGUGGCAGAUUGAUGAACAACUUUGGAGGAGUUUGGAGGUGAGAACCCAAGAAACCCUAUCAUAUUUUCUUUUUGGUUCUAAUAGAUGAGUUAAUUUAUGUUAAGUUCUUGGUGUAAGUUGGAUGAAUUUGUGUGGAUUUUUAAACUUGUAACUAAAGUGGCAAAGAAUUGGUUUAAGUUGAUAAGUAGGCUUGCUAUGAGCCUCACCUUGGAUUUUGGGUGAUCUUUGGUUAAUUUUUUUCAUGUUGGACUUGAUAGAGGAAUUAUAGAAAGUGGUGGAACCUGGUUAUGUAUAUAUAAUUCUUUGUUGAGUAUUAAGUAAGUGUGUGACUAAGUAGGGUUUGUUCAAUUUCUCUUACGGUUGUUGAACUACGAUUGGCUUGAUCCCUCCAAAUGGUACGUAGGCAGUCUAACGAGAAGUUAGAUACAGCCAUAAAAUAAAUGAGAUUAAAUUUUAGUGGAAAAUUGUUACAAAAGAAAAGUUAGAAUGGUUAUUAACAUAAAGGGUAACUAUGACAUUUUUGGCCUAGCCCUAAAUGUAAAUUCCGAAAUAAAUUGGCGGGGCAUUAUAUGUAACAACUAGUUUUUUCAUGGUACCUGUAGAAAAAUUUCAAUCCCAUUAGUUCUUCAUUUGUACCAAAUCAUUAAAUCAUUGCAUAUUUGUUUACAUAACAUUCUCAAGUUCUUGAUUGUGAAUGGAACAUUUGGUAACUAUGGAGCAUGAGGGUCUCUACUAACCGAACUGGGUCUCUGCUUGUAGGUUGAGCAGGGGUAAGUUGUGAUUUCUACAGAGGAGGAGACGGAGGACUGCGUAAAACUAGGGUUUCUUCCUUUUUUUAAUUUUAGUUCAGAUUUUAUGUUUUUUUCAGUUUUAUUUAUCUUUAAUAUUAGUUAAAAUCCAAAUAAGCAUUCAUGUCAUUUAAUGAAUAAGUAAGAACCAUUGGAUGUCAUGUAAUCGAAAGGCUUAAAUAGAGUGUAAAAGUAUUUGUAAAAAUAUUUGUCCUUUGAUCCUAUCUCAUAUAUAUAAACAUGGGUACAUUCA